AGCUGACGUGGCUCAACGGAAGAGCAACUGACUUGUAAUCAGUAGGUUGGGGGUUCGAUUCCCUUCGUCAGCUA
RNAcentral lists this transfer RNA (74 nucleotides) under Apicomplexa sp. WK-2018_Corallicola. RNAcentral's name for it is "tRNA-Thr". It matches the Rfam family "tRNA". From Rfam's summary of the family: Transfer RNA (tRNA) molecules are approximately 80 nucleotides in length. Their secondary structure includes four short double-helical elements and three loops (D, anti-codon, and T loops). Lineage: Eukaryota; Apicomplexa. The record is from RNAcentral.